AUAAUGGGUCAGCGACUUAUAUUCUGUAGCAAGGUUAACCGAAUAGGGGAGCCGAAGGGAAACCGAGUCUUAACUGGGCGUUAAGUUGCAGGGUAUAGACCCGAAACCCGGUGAUCUAGCCAUGGGCAGGUUGAAGGUUGGGUAACACUAACUGGAGGACCGAACCGACUAAUGUUGAAAAAUUAGCGGAUGACUUGUGGCUGGGGGUGAAAGGCCAAUCAAACCGGGAGAUAGCUGGUUCUCCCCGAAAGCUAUUUAGGUAGCGCCUCGUGAAUUCAUCUCCGGGGGUAGAGCACUGUUUCGGCAAGGGGGUCAUCCCGACUUACCAACCCGAUGCAAACUGCGAAUACCGGAGAAUGUUAUCACGGGAGACACACGGCGGGUGCUAACGUCCGUCGUGAAGAGGGAAACAACCCAGACCGCCAGCUAAGGUCCCAAAGUCAUGGUUAAGUGGGAAACGAUGUGGGAAGGCCCAGACAGCCAGGAUGUUGGCUUAGAAGCAGCCAUCAUUUAAAGAAAGCGUAAUAGCUCACUGGUCGAGUCGGCCUGCGCGGAAGAUGUAACGGGGCUAAACCAUGCACCGAAGCUGCGGCAGCGACGCUUAUGCGUUGUUGGGUAGGGGAGCGUUCUGUAAGCCUGCGAAGGUGUGCUGUGAGGCAUGCUGGAGGUAUCAGAAGUGCGAAUGCUGACAUAAGUAACGAUAAAGCGGGUGAAAAGCCCGCUCGCCGGAAGACCAAGGGUUCCUGUCCAACGUUAAUCGGGGCAGGGUGAGUCGACCCCUAAGGCGAGGCCGAAAGGCGUAGUCGAUGGGAAACAGGUUAAUAUUCCUGUACUUGGUGUUACUGCGAAGGGGGGACGGAGAAGGCUAUGUUGGCCGGGCGACGGUUGUCCCGGUUUAAGCGUGUAGGCUGGUUUUCCAGGCAAAUCCGGAAAAUCAAGGCUGAGGCGUGAUGACGAGGCACUACGGUGCUGAAGCAACAAAUGCCCUGCUUCCAGGAAAAGCCUCUAAGCAUCAGGUAACAUCAAAUCGUACCCCAAACCGACACAGGUGGUCAGGUAGAGAAUACCAAGGCGCUUGAGAGAACUCGGGUGAAGGAACUAGGCAAAAUGGUGCCGUAACUUCGGGAGAAGGCACGCUGAUAUGUAGGUGAAGUCCCUCGCGGAUGGAGCUGAAAUCAGUCGAAGAUACCAGCUGGCUGCAACUGUUUAUUAAAAACACAGCACUGUGCAAACACGAAAGUGGACGUAUACGGUGUGACGCCUGCCCGGUGCCGGAAGGUUAAUUGAUGGGGUUAGCGCAAGCGAAGCUCUUGAUCGAAGCCCCGGUAAACGGCGGCCGUAACUAUAACGGUCCUAAGGUAGCGAAAUUCCUUGUCGGGUAAGUUCCGACCUGCACGAAUGGCGUAAUGAUGGCCAGGCUGUCUCCACCCGAGACUCAGUGAAAUUGAACUCGCUGUGAAGAUGCAGUGUACCCGCGGCAAGACGGAAAGACCCCGUGAACCUUUACUAUAGCUUGACACUGAACAUUGAGCCUUGAUGUGUAGGAUAGGUGGGAGGCUUUGAAGUGUGGACGCCAGUCUGCAUGGAGCCGACCUUGAAAUACCACCCUUUAAUGUUUGAUGUUCUAACGUUGACCCGUAAUCCGGGUUGCGGACAGUGUCUGGUGGGUAGUUUGACUGGGGCGGUCUCCUCCUAAAGAGUAACGGAGGAGCACGAAGGUUGGCUAAUCCUGGUCGGACAUCAGGAGGUUAGUGCAAUGGCAUAAGCCAGCUUGACUGCGAGCGUGACGGCGCGAGCAGGUGCGAAAGCAGGUCAUAGUGAUCCGGUGGUUCUGAAUGGAAGGGCCAUCGCUCAACGGAUAAAAGGUACUCCGGGGAUAACAGGCUGAUACCGCCCAAGAGUUCAUAUCGACGGCGGUGUUUGGCACCUCGAUGUCGGCUCAUCACAU
This 1948-nucleotide ribosomal RNA is filed under the name Escherichia coli. RNAcentral's name for it is "partial 23S ribosomal RNA". It matches the Rfam family "Bacterial large subunit ribosomal RNA", at positions 612 to 2545 of the family's 2925-position model. The record is from RNAcentral. Lineage: Bacteria; Pseudomonadati; Pseudomonadota; Gammaproteobacteria; Enterobacterales; Enterobacteriaceae.